GAUGAACGCUGGCGGCGUGCCUAAUACAUGCAAGUCGAGCGAACGGACGAGAAGCUUGCUUCUCUGAUGUUAGCGGCGGACGGGUGAGUAACACGUGGAUACCCUACCUAUAAGACUGGGAUAACUUCGGGAAACCGGAGCUAAUACCGGAUAAUAUUUUGAACCGCAUGGUUCAAAAGUGAAAGACGGUCUUGCUGUCACUUAUAGAUGGAUCCGCGCUGCAUUAGCUAGUUGGUAAGGUAACGGCUUACCAAGGCAACGAUGCAUAGCCGACCUGAGAGAGUGAUCGGCCACACUGGAACUGAGACACGGUCCAGACUCCUACGGGAGGCAGCAGUAGGGAAUCUUCCGCAAUAGGCGGAAGCCUGACGGAGCAACGCCGCGUGAGUGGUGGAGGUCUUCGGAGCGUAAAACUCUGUUAUUAGGGAAGAACAUAUGUGGAAGUAACUGUGCACAGCUUGACGGUACCUGAUCAGAAAGCCACGGCUAACUACGUG
This 497-nucleotide ribosomal RNA is filed under the name uncultured bacterium. Its description in RNAcentral is "partial 16S ribosomal RNA". It matches the Rfam family "Bacterial small subunit ribosomal RNA", at positions 28 to 507 of the family's 1533-position model. The record is from RNAcentral.